CAGUAGCCGCGGUAAUACAGAGGAUGCAAGCGUUAUCCGGAAUGAUUGGGCGUAAAGCGUCUGUAGGUGGCUUUUCAAGUCCGCCGUCAAAUCCCAGGGCUCAACCCUGGACAGGCGGUGGAAACUACCAAGCUGGAGUACGGUAGGGGCAGAGGGAAUUUCCGGUGGAGCGGUGAAAUGCGUAGAUAUUAGGAAGAACACCAGUGGCGAAGGCGACUUUCUGGACGAAAACUGACGCUGAGGCGCGAAAGCCAGGGGAGCGAACGGGAUUAGAUACCCGCGUAGUCCCUGUCUCUUAUAA
RNAcentral lists this ribosomal RNA (301 nucleotides) under uncultured bacterium. RNAcentral's name for it is "partial 16S ribosomal RNA". It matches the Rfam family "Bacterial small subunit ribosomal RNA", at positions 509 to 809 of the family's 1533-position model. The record is from RNAcentral.